Molecule: RNA transcript, 1837 nt
Organism: Silurus meridionalis
Lineage: Eukaryota; Metazoa; Chordata; Actinopteri; Siluriformes; Siluridae
Gene: mbpb
Gene name: myelin basic protein b
Exons: 6
Source: RefSeq, a predicted model, not a curated record
ACGCACACGCACACGGACACACACACACGCACACGCUCACCACCUCAACCAGGAAGCAAAAUAUACACACAAACACGGAGUAAGGAACGAAAGAAAAAAAAGGAGAAAAAAACCCAGGAAAGAAAAAAGAUCUUGUUUUCAGCAGGUUGCGGUACAGAAGCCGAGCGUGCAUGUGUUUAUUCCGCUGAGCGCGUACGGUUGCUGUGGGCAGUAUGGGACAGCUCCUCGGAAAACGUGAAUUGUUGCCUGAGUCCAAGGCUCUAUCAGACCCAGCUACUAGGACCGCAGCGGACGGCGACUCUCAGGACGAGGUCUUUGGCAUGAACGACUCGGACGUCAACCAGAACAAAAACCGCUCAAACAAAAGCGAGACGACGUCAAGCCCCGCCCCCGCCAUCCACCCCAGCGCCGGACAGACCAACCAGGCCAUGGGAUAUUGGCCACGCCCACACCUGGUCCGCCUCUUUUCCCGUGAUGCCCCGGGCCGAGAGGACAACACCUUCAAAGAGCGUCCGUCAGAGUCAGACGAACUUCACACCAUCGAGGAGGCUGAAGGAGCCACGUCUGAAAACUCAGAGUGAAAGCCCAAAUAAACUCGACUCGUUCACUCGCUACUUUCGCUCUUCGCACCAAACAUGGCAUCUUCAGGCUCAGCGGGACAGUCCAGACUCGGGCGUGGAAAGAAAAGCCCCGGGGUGAUGGAUCAGAUUGGAAAAAUCUUUGGAGGAGAUAAGAAGCGGAAGAGCAAGGGGGAUCAGAAGAGCUCAGUGAAGGCGCAAAAAGGGCGUGCAGGAGAAGGACAGGGCACGCUGACCCGCAUCUUCAAAAUGGGAGGAACCAGAGCAGCAUCUCCAGCCAAACGCUGAGUUCCAGCCCUUUUCUCAUUCUCCAUUAAACGUGAUGACCCUGAACGGAGAGAAAGAAAAGAAGAAGGAAGCUUUUUUUCACCACUUACACUUUUUUCCUUGCCGGAAAAGCAUUAACCCGAACACACAUUGUGCUCUGUCUGUUCAUAGAUUUAUUUAUGUCAGUUUUCUCAGUCUGUUGAGUUUAGCGUGGUCAGAUCCUGCACUCCCCCUCCCGCAUCGUGUCCAUCCUUGUCUUUUGAAAACAUGAGGCACUGAAGACCUUUUGAGCAAAUCGUUCCGAUCAUGAUUAGAAAACUAACACUUUUCGCUUUAUAUCACUGAGCAUAAACCGUGACGUGUUUAAAAAGUCGAUCGUUGUUCUAUUACAAUGUGAUGUUACUAGCUAAUUGCCAAAAAAAAACUUUGAUAAGGAGCUAGCUUGCUAGUUUAGCAUAUCCACAGAAGCUAGGACUGCAUUUAUUUGCAGGUUAGAUCAUUAAGCAUACGAGUGUCAAAACAAAAUUAGCCUCAAAAGGUUGUAGUGCACAUUUAUAUUACUGAAUCUUUGUCUUGUAGCACUGUCUUUGUCUAAGAAGUCAAUGUGACUAGCAUUUAGCAUCUAAACAUCUAAUUGUUUUCAUGUGCCUUCACACGGUCUCGUCUCUUAAACUUAUUCUUCCUUGCUGUCUCAGUGGAUCUGAUCGCAAACUUUAGAGCUAAGUAACACAAAAGUCGUCUCUUGUUGAUUUUUAGUCAAAGGGUUUCCAAAUUCUUUGUUCAUGUUUAGUCACUGCAUUUGCUGUUGACUUUUUCUCUCUCGCCUCUUUGGCCUUUGACUACUUCUUUAAGCUUUUUCAAAUAAAACCAUGCCCCAAUAAGACAUGGAUAUAAAAAGCCAUAGAUUUUAUGCAUGUAUUUGUCAGUUAGAAUGCUAAUGGAGUGAUGGGAAUCAUUAAAAAUGCAAAUAAAGGAGACAUAUAUAUGUGUCA